RNAcentral lists this ribosomal RNA (807 nucleotides) under uncultured organism. RNAcentral's name for it is "bacterial SSU rRNA". It matches the Rfam family "Bacterial small subunit ribosomal RNA", at positions 517 to 1336 of the family's 1533-position model. The record is from RNAcentral.
GCGGUAAUACAGAGGCCUCAAGCGUUAUCCGGAUUCACUGGGCGUAAAGGGUGCGUAGGCGGUUAUAUUAGUCGGGCGUAAAAUCCUAGGGCUCAACCUUAGGCCCGCGUUCGAAACGGUAUAACUAGGAGUAGUGAGAGGUGAACAGAACUCACGGUGUAGGGGUGAAAUCCGUUGAUAUCGUGGGGAAUACCAAAUGCGAAGGCAGUUCACUGGCGCUUACUCGACGCUGAGGCACGAAAGCGUGGGUAGCGAACGGGAUUAGAUACCCCGGUAGUCCACGCCCUAAACGCUGUCCGCUGGCUUUAGGGAGAAUCGACCCUCCCUGAGGCGAAGGUAACCCGUUAAGCGGACCGCCUGGGUAGUACGAGCGCAAGCUUAAAACUCAAAGGAAUAGACGGGGGCUCGCACAAGCGGUGGAUCAUGAGGCUUAAUUCGUCGAUAAGCGAAAAACCUUACCCAGGCUAGAAACCAUACUGCACGCUCUCCGAAAGGAGAGAAUCCUUCGAGGGUGUAUGGCAGGUGAUGCAUGGCCGUCGUCAGUUCGUGGCUUGAGCUGUUCCCUUAAGUGGGGAAACGAACGCAACCCUCGUUGCCUGUUACAAGUGUCAGGCGAGACUGCUCCCUCACGGGAGAGGAAGGUGAGGAUGACGCCAGGUCAGCAUGUCCCUUGAUGCCUGGGGCUGCACUCGUGAUACAAUGGGAUGUACAAAGGGACGCAAUACAGUAAUGUGGAGCAAAUCCUGAUAAAACAUUCCUCAGUUCGGAUUGAGGGCUGCAACUCGCCCUCAUGAAGCCGGAAUCGCU